Molecule: long non-coding RNA, 3145 nt
Filed under: Olea europaea subsp. europaea
Lineage: Eukaryota; Viridiplantae; Streptophyta; Magnoliopsida; Lamiales; Oleaceae
Source: RNAcentral
GCGCAAUCGAGUCUUGACAAGAUCCGUUACAGAAAAUACCCUCUCAACAGUAGUAGUAGCAACGGAAAGAAUCAAUGCCAAUGUCACAAGCCUACAUAGCAGUGGAUACACUUCAUUUUUCUUUGUCACAACUACUUUUUACAAGAUCACUAAGACCUUGCAAUCCUCUAAAGUUUUCAUCUGUGCGCAUAUCAAAUAUAUCAGUUUCAAGUUGAUCAUCAAGUGCAGAAGGAUUAGUGAAAUAUCUUCAGAAUAAUACUCAACUAGUCGAAUUAAUUUGUUCUUGUCGAAAACAGAAAAAGAAUCAUCUGGACACAAACAUGCUAUGCAAAGGCACAAUUCACUAUCUACCUCGAAAAAACGAUCAUUCAACUCUUGAAUUUGCAUAUCAAUGACAGUGCAAAAGUAAUUCACUCUUAAGUGAUGUAAAUUCAUCAUUUUUGGAGUGUUACGCCGUGAACGACCUGGAGGUAUAUACAUAGCAUCCAUGUUAAGAAUAUCAACAUGCUACUUUUGAUAGAAAGAACAAACCAUUUCAAGAAAGGAGCCCCAUCCAUUGUCUCUUGUUGCUUGAAGUUGUUCUUUGCAAAAUUUUACUAAGCUUAUGGCAUUGACAAUAUCUUGAUCUUUCAUUUGUAAUGCCUUUGACAAUUCAUUUGAAAUUCCUAAUAUCCUUUUCAUGAGAUGUAGACUAAAUACAACAUCAAAUCUUACUAUCAAGGUCAAUAAAUUACGUGCUACAACUCUUUUUCCAGAACUUAGGACAUCCUCAGCAAUUGUUUCAAGUACAUCAAUUGUAGGUGAAAACAUUUGAAUAAAGUUAAUCAAAGAAUUACAGUGAGAACUCCAACGUGUAUCACCUUUUAGGGUAGUUUGUUGAUUAAGGCCUCGUCAACUUGAUAAUUCACCGUAAUUGAAUGCCUCAACAAUUCGAAGUCUUUGCUUCUCUUGAAGAAGAUCACAUCAUUGAGCUGAUCCUACAACAACAUUCACCACUCUAUCAACCAAAUCAAAAAAAGCUUCAAUCUCUACAUGCUUGUUUGUUAUAGCAACAAAGGCUAGAUGAAGUUGAUGAGUGAAGCAAUGAAUGUAGAAAGCACUUGGGUUUUCUUUUUAAUAAGUGCUUUGAGACCAUUAAAUUCACCUUGCAUAUUACUAGCUCCAUCAUAACCUUAACCUCUUAAGCGAGAUAUACUUAAUUUAUAUCUAGAGAAUAAGCAAUCAAUAGCUACUUUAAGGGAGAGAGCUAUGGUAUUCAAAACAUGCUCUAUGCCUACAAAACAUUCAACUACACAUCCAUUCUUGUUCACAUAAUGAAAAACAAUAGACAUUUGUUCCUUAACUGAGAUGUCACGCGAUUCAUCAACUAGAAUAGAAAAUAAACAAUCACCAAUAUCAUUGAUAAUAACACUGAUUGUUUCAAAAGUAGCAGCACUUACAAUAUCUUUUUGGAUGUCAGUUGAUGUUAAUUUGAGACUAUCAGGAGCAUUCUUGAAAGUAAUAGCUUUAAUCUCCUCAUUAUGAUCAGCCAAAAAUGUAAUAAUUCAAGAAAAUUUCCUUGAUUAUUUGUAUCUUCAUAUUCAUCAGGUCCACAAAAUGCAAGUCCUUGUCUUAGAAGAAAUUGAACACAAUCAAUUGAUGCACUCAAAUGAAUUCGCUAUUCAUGUCAUGAUUGUUGUGAUUAUUUCAAGAAAAUAGCCUGAAUUUUUUUCUUGAUUUAUAAAAGCUUCGCACUUAAUUCGAGCUUUAAUGUGUGCACUAUUGUGAUUUCCAACAUGCUAUUGGAGUUUUUCUUUACUUUUCCAAUUUGAGAACCCUCGCUCAAUAAAAAGUGUUACCACCUUCUUGUUCCACACCUGAUUUAAAAAGAUAACAGUAAAAGCAAAAUGUAGCAUAUUUCUCUCUACUAUACUCCAACCAAGAAGGAAACUCGUAAAAUCGAGAAGAUUGAAAAUGCUUCAAUGAAGAUUUUCCAUAUUUUUUCUGUGGAAAUUUGAGCUUGAAAAGCUGACAAUGACCCAUUUGUAUACAUUCUAUUCGAACUUUGUCUCGAACAUUAACAUGAUAUUCCAUAAUCGGAAUUCGUAGUCCAAGAUCUAUAGAAAGUUGUACAACAUUAAUUUUACCCUGAACAUUUAUUUCAUCCCGGACAACAUCAUUUUCAUCUCGAACAACUUCACUUUCUUCCUGAAUAACAUCAUUUUGAUGGUCAACAUCACUUCACCCCGAUUAUUACGUUCGUUCCCAAUAUCACUUUUAACUUGAAUAUCCCUUUCAUCUUGAGCAAUCACACGGGCAUUGCUAGAUUUUUUUUCUAUCAAUAUUUUGACCUCCAAUAAAAAAUGAAGCUUUCCUUUUAAAGUAUCUCUCCAUAAUCGUUGACAUUGAAUUGAAUACCAUGUAAAUAAAAAUUUGCAAUAAAGAUUAUAAAUUUAACAAAGUUUUAUUAAAUCAACUAAUAACAUUAUUGAAAAUAUAAUAAACACAAUAAUCAUAAUCUUCUUAUCAUUUUGUCGUAUUUCUUUUUCAAAUUUAGGGCCACACACAUAUACACUCUGUGUUACAAAAUAAUCAAAGCCAAACACACAAACCCCUAUUCCAGCUAAUGAGGAAAUAACCUUUUUACCUCUCACAAGGUCCAAUUCUCCCCUAUCCAUUCCCUCCAAUCAUGCCUUGAAACCCAUCUACACUGAUUCAUUUCUUCAACCUCUAGAAACUUGGUUUUUAUUUAUUAUUUGUCCAGAACCUUUAUAUCGAAAGAGUAAAUUGAGAAAUCCUUAUUCAAUGCCUAUUGCCUAGAACAUUAUGCAUCACAAUUUCAAAGGCCAAAGAAAGUCUUCUUUCUUCUUUUUUUUCUUCAACCAUUAAAUCAUAAGCAUAAAAACCAGUGAAAAUUUUGCAUAGGUCACAUAAAAAUCAAUUCAGGAGCCUAAUGCACUAACUCGUUGAAAUCACCUUUCCAAUAGAAGAGGAGAAUUAGAAGAUGCCAGAGAAAGAGCACAAACUCGCCUGUGAACGAUGGUCGGCCGUCAAUUAGAAUUGGAUUUGCAAGAUACUUGAGAAGAAGAGAAGAGAGGUGGGUAGGGUUUUAAGCUUUUCCAAAUUGAAAUGGGAUUAUGGGAGAAAAACAUGGCGUGACUGGUCG